GAAGGAGGGCGGCGGGCGGCCUGUGGAGUCGGCCGGUGGUGAGGAAAAUGGGAGGGGAUGUACGAUGAGGCCGUCGGCGUCAGCUCGGGCCCCGGCGGCUCGGGCGGUGGACGAAGGAGGAGAAGGAGGAUGGAACGGAUCUCGGCGGCGGCAGGAAGCGGCACGGGCGGAGGCGGCGACGGCGGAGCGACACGGGCGGCACGGGCACAGGGGCGGCGCGGGCUCGGGUGACGGAGGAGAUGGCGUCGGCG
RNAcentral lists this long non-coding RNA (251 nucleotides) under Phoenix dactylifera (date palm). Its description in RNAcentral is "long non-coding RNA (PDAC_LNC001577)". Lineage: Eukaryota; Viridiplantae; Streptophyta; Magnoliopsida; Arecales; Arecaceae. The record is from RNAcentral.